GUAGGGGGCAAGCGUUAUCCGGAUUUACUGGGUGUAAAGGGAGCGUAGACGGUGAUGCAAGUCAGAAGUGAAAGCCCGGGGCUCAACUCCGGGACUGCUUUUGAAACUGUGUAACUGGAGUGCAGGAGAGGUAAGCGGAAUUCCUGGUGUAGCGGUGAAAUGCGUAGAUAUCAGGAGGAACACCAGUGGCGAAGGCGGCUUACUGGACUGUAACUGACACUGAGGCUCGAAAGUGUGGGUAUCA
RNAcentral lists this ribosomal RNA (244 nucleotides) under uncultured bacterium. RNAcentral describes it as "partial 16S ribosomal RNA". It matches the Rfam family "Bacterial small subunit ribosomal RNA", at positions 527 to 770 of the family's 1533-position model. The record is from RNAcentral.